RNAcentral lists this long non-coding RNA (5439 nucleotides) under Citrus x clementina. Its description in RNAcentral is "Citrus clementina (C. clementina) long non-coding RNA (CCLE_LNC000029)". The record is from RNAcentral. Lineage: Eukaryota; Viridiplantae; Streptophyta; Magnoliopsida; Sapindales; Rutaceae.
CCACCCGUUUUUGUGGCCUUUUUCCGCUGGACGAACUUGGCGCCCCGGCCUUCGGGCGGUUAUUUGUGGGUGCGGCUUUGUACUCGGCCUAUAUUUUGCACACGGAGGCCCCUCGUAAAGGCUCGCGGCAUUCCGAGUCCGGCGGACGAAGGUGGCCAGCCCCACCCCCCAAGGCUAUAGCCCACCCGUUUUUGUGGCCUUUUUCUGCUGGACGAACUUGGCGCCCCGGCCUUCGGACGGUUAUUUUUGGGUGCGGCUUUGCCCGCGGCCUAUUUUUGGCACACGGAGGCCCCUCGCAAAGUCUCGCGCCAUUCCGAGUCCGGCGGACGAAGUCGGCCAGCCCCACCCCCCAACGCUAUAUCCCACCCGUUUUUGUGUCCUUUUUCCGCUGGACAAACUUAGCGCCCCGGCGUCCGGGCGGUUAUUUUUGGGCGCGGCUUUGCCCGUGGCCUAGUUUUGGCACACGGAGGCCCCUCGCAAAGUCUCGCGGCAUUCCGAGUCCGGCGGACGAAGUUGGCCAGCCCCACCCCCCAAGGCUAUAACCCACCCGUUUUUGUGGCCUUUUUCCGCUGGACGAACUUGGCGCCCCGGCCUUCGCGCAGUUAUUUUUGGACGCGGCCUUGCCCGCGGCCUAUUUUUGGCACAUGGAGGCUCCUCGCAAAGUCUCGCGUCAUUCCGAGUCCGGCGGACGAAGUCGGCCAGCGCCACCCCCCAAGGCUAUAGCCCACCCGUUUUUGUGGCCUUUUUCCGCUGGACGAACUUGGCGCCCCGGCCUUCGGGCGGUUAUUUUUGGGCGCGGCUUUGCCGCGGCCUAUUUUUGGCACACGGAGGCCCCCUCGCAAAGUCUCGCGCCAUUCCAAGUCCGGCGGACGAAGUAGGCCAGCCCCACCCCCCAAGGCUAUAACCCACCCGUUUUUGUGGCCUUUUUCCGCUGGACGAACUUGGCGCCCCGGCCUUCGGGCGGUUAUUUUUGGGCACGGCUUUGCCCGUGGCCUAGUUUUGGCACACGGAGGCCCCUCGCAAACUCUCGCGCCAUUCCGAGUCCGGCGGACGAAGUCGGCCAGCCCCACCCCCCAAGGCUAUAGCCCACCCGUUUUUGUGUCCUUUUUCCGCUGGACGAACUUGGCGCCCCUGCCUGCAGGCGGUUAUUUUUGGGCGCGCCUCUGCCCGCGUCCUAUUUUUGGCACACAGAGGUGCCUCCUAAAGUCUCGCGCCAUUCCGAGUCCGGCGGACGAAGUUGGCCACCCCACCCCCCAAGNNNNNNNNNNNNNNNNNNNNNNNNNNNNNNNNNNNNNNNNNNNNNNNNNNNNNNNNNNNNNNNNNNNNNNNNNNNNNNNNNNNNNNNNNNNNNNNNNNNNUAUAGCCCACCCGUUUUUGUGGGCUUUUUCCGCUGGAUGAACUUGGUGCCCCGGCCUUCGGGCGGUUUUUUUUGGGAGCGGCUGUGGUCACGGCCUAUUUUUGGCACACGGAGGUGCCUCGCAAAGUCUCACGCCAUUCCGAGUUUGGCGGACGAAGUUGGCCAGCCCCACCCCCCAAGGCUAUAGCCCACCCGUUUUUGUGGUCUUUUUCCGCUGGACGAACUUGGCGCCUCAACCUUCGGGCUGUUAUUUUUGGGUGCGGCUGUGGCCGCGACCUAUUUUUGGCACACGGAGGCGCCUCGCAAAGUCUCGCGCCAUUCGGAGUCCGGCGGACGAUGUUGGCCGGCCCCACCCCCCAAGGCUAUAGACCACCCGUUUUUGUGGCAUUUUUCCGCUGGACGAACUUGGCGCCCCGGCCUUCGGGUGGUUAUUUUUGGGCGCAGCUGCGCCCAAGGCCUAUUUUUAGCUCAUGGAGGCGCCUCGCAAAGUCUCGUGCCAUUCCGAGUCCGGCGGACGAAGUUGGCCAGCCCCACCUCCCAAGGCAAUAGCCCACCCGUUUUGGUGGCCAUUUUCCGCUGGACGAACUUGGCGCCCCGGUCUUCGGGUGGUUAUUUUUGGCUGCGGCUGAGCUCGCGGCCUAUUUUUGGCACACGGAGGCCCCUCGCAAAGUCUCGCGCCAUUCCGAGUCCGGCGGACGAAGUUGGCCAGCCCCACCCCCCAAGGCUAUAGCCCACCCGUUUUUGUGGGCUUUUUCCGCUGGACGAACUUGGGGCCCCGGCCAUCGGGUGGUUAUUUUUGGGCGAGGCUGCCCCCAUGGCCUAUUUUUGGCUCACGGAGGCGCCUCGCAAAGUCUCGUGCCAUUCCGAGUCCGGCGGACGAAGUUGGCCAGCCCCACCCCCCAAGGCAAUAGCCCACCCGUUUUUGUGGCCUUUUUCCGCUGGACGAACUUGGCGCCCCGGCCUUCGGGCGGUUAUUUUUGGGCGCGGCUGAGCCCGCGGCCCCCUUUUCGGCACACGGAGGCCCCACGCAAUGUCUCGCGCCAUUCCGUGUCCGGCGGACGAAGUUGGCCACCCCACCCCCCAAGGCUAUAGCCCACCCGUUUUUGUGGGCUUUUUCCGCUGGAUGAACUUGGUACCCCGGCCUUCGGGCGGAUUUUUUUGGGAGCGGGUUUGGUCGCGGCCUAUUUUUGGCACACGGAGGUGCCUGGCAAAUUCUCACGNNNNNNNNNNNNNNNNNNNNNNNNNNNNNNNNNNNNNNNNNNNNNNNNNNNNNNNNNNNNNNNNNNNNNNNNNNNNNNNNNNNNNNNNNNNNNNNNNNNNNNNNNNNNNNNNNNNNNNNNNNNNNCGGCUCUGCCCGCGUCCUAUUUUUGGCACACGGAGGUGCCUCCUAAAGUCUCGCGCCAUUCGGAGUCCGGCGGAGGAAGUUGGCCACCCCACCCCCCAAGGCUAUAGCCCACCCGUUUUUGUGGGCUUUUUCCGCUGGAUGAACUUGGUGCCCCGGCCUUCGGGCGGUUUUUUUUGGGAGCGGCUGUGGUCACGGCCUAUUUUUGGCACACGGAGGUGCCUCGCAAAGUCUCACGCCAUUCCGAGUUUGGCGGACGAAGUUGGCCAGCCCCACCCCCCAAGGCUAUAGCCCACCCGUUUUUGUGGUCUUUUUCCGCUGGACGAACUUGGCGCCUCAGCCUUCGGGCUGUUAUUUUUGGGUGCGGCUGUGCCCGCGACCUAUUUUUGGCACACGGAGGCGCCUCGCAAAGUCUCGCGCCAUUCGGAGUCCGGCGGACGAUGUUGGCCGGCCCCACCCCCCAAGGCUAUAGCCCACCCGUUUUUGUGGCAUUUUUCCGCUGGACGAACUUGGCGCCCCGGCCUUCGGGUGGUUAUUUUUGGGCGCAGCUGCGUCCAAGGCCUAUUUUUGGCUCACGGAGGUGCCUCGCAAAGUCUCGUGCCAUUCCGAGUCCGGCGGACGAAGUUGGCCAGCCCCACCUCCCAAGGCAAUAGCCCACCCGUUUUUGUGGCCAUUUUCCGCUGGACGAACUUGCCGCCCCGGUCUUCGGGUGGUUAUUUUUGGCUGCGGCUGAGAUCGCGGCCUAUUUUUGGCACACGGAGGCCCCUCGCAAAGUCUCGCGCCAUUCCGAGUCCGGCGGACGAAGUUGGCCAGCCCCACCCCCCAAGGCUAUAGCCCACCCGUUUUUGUGGCCUAUUUCCGCUGGACGAACUUGGCGCCCCGGCCUGCAGGCGGUUAUUUUUGGGCGCGCCUCUGCCCGCGUCCUAUUUUUGGCACACAGAGGUGCCUCCUAAAGUCUCGCGCCAUUCCGUGUCCGGCGGACGAAGUCGGCGGGCCCCACCCCCCAAGGCUAUAGCCCACCCGUUUUUGGGGCCUUUUUCCGCUGGACGAACUUGGCGCCCCGGCCUUCGGACAGUUAUUUUUCGGCGCGGCUUUGCCCGUGGCCUAUUUUUGGCACACGGAGGCCCCUCGGAAUGUCUCGCGGCAUUCCGAGUCCGGCGGGCGAAGUUGGCCAGCCCCACCCCUCAAGGCUAUAGCCCACCCGUUUUUGUGGCCUUUUUCCGCUGGACGAACUUGGCGCCCCGGCCUUCGGGCGGUUAUUUGUGGGUGCGGCUUUGUACUCGGCCUAUAUUUUGCACACGGAGGCCCCUCGUAAAGUCUCGCGGCAUUCCGAGUCCGGCGGACGAAGGUGGCCAGCCCCACCCCCCAAGGCUAUAGCCCACCCGUUUUUGUGGCCUUUUUCUGCUGGACGAACUUGCCGCCCCGGCCUUCGGACGGUUAUUUUUGGGUGCGGCUUUGCCCGCGGCCUAUUUUUGGCACACGGAGGCCCCUCGCAAAGUCUCGCGCCAAUCCGAGUCCGGCGGACGAAGUCGGCCAGCCCCACCCCCCAAGGCUAUAGCCCACCCGUUUUUGUGUCCUUUUUCCGCUGGACAAACUUAGCGCCCCGGCCUUCGGGCGGUUAUUUUUGGGCGCGGCUUUGCCCGUGGCCUAGUUUUGGCACACGGAGGCCCCUCGCAAAGUCUCGCGGCAUUCUGAGUCCGGCGGACGAAGUUGGCCAGCCCCACCCCCCAAGGCUAUAACCCACCUGUUUUUGUGGCCUUUUUCCGCUGGACGAACUUGGCGCCCCGGCCUUCGCGCAGUUAUUUUUGGACGCGGCCUUGCCCGCGGCCUAUUUUGGCAAACGGAGGUUCCUCGCAAAGUCUCGCGUCAUUCCGAGUCCGGCGGACGAAGUCGGCCAGCGCCACCCCCCAAAGGCUAUAGCCCACCCGUUUUUGUGGCCUUUAUCCGCUGGACGAACUUGGCGCCCCGGCCUUCGGGCGGUUAUUUUUGGGCGCGGCUUUGCCCGCGGCCUAUUUUUGGCACACGGAGGCCCCUCGCAAAGUCUCGCGCCAUUCCAAGUCCGGCGGACGAAGUAGGCCAGCCCCACCCCCCAAGGCUAUAACCAACCCGUUUUUGUGGCCUUUUUCCGCUGGACGAACUUGGCGCCCCGGCCUUCGGGUGGUUAUUUUUUGGCGCGGCUUUGUCCACGGCCUAUUUUUGGCACACGGAGGCCCCUCGCAAAGUCUCGCGCCAUUCCGAGGCCGGCGGCCGAAGUUGGCCAUCCCCACCCCUCAAGCCUAUAGCCCACCCGUUUUUGUGGCCUUUUUCCGCUGGACGAACUUGGAUCCCCGGCCUUCGGGCGGUUAUUUGUGGGCGCGGCUUUGUACUCGGCCUAUAUUUGGCACACGGAGGCCCCUCGUAAAGUCUCGCGGCAUUCCGAGUCCGGCGGACGAAGGUGGCCAGCCCCACCCCCCAAGGCUAUAGCCCACCCGUUUUUGUGGCCUUUUUCUGUUGGACGAACUUGGCGCCCCGGCCUUCGGACGGUUAUUUUUGGGUGCGGCUUUGCCCGCGGCCUAUUUUUGGCACACGGAGGCCCCUCGCAAAGUCUCGCGCCAUUCCGAGUCCGGCGGACGAAGUCGGCCAGCCCCACCCCCCAAGGCUAUAGCCCACCCGUUUUUGUGUCCUUUUUCCGCUGGACAAACUUAGCGACCCGGCCUUCGGGCGGUUAUUUUUGGGCGCGGCUUUGCCCGUGGCCUAGUUU